GCUGAAAGGAGCGUCCCCAUGCCGGUUAUAACUAAAAUAUUGCUUAUGCAACAUUUCAUACAAGUGGUCCUAUGCCUUGUCAGGAAGUUGGCGAGGCUAGUCCAAAAACUCCGCACCGGUUUGGCAUAAAUCUUAUCUAGACGACUUAACUGGGGAGCGGGUACUGUAAGUGCUAGAGCUGAUUUUUUCCGCGAUGCACUGAGGUUCAUCCCGUUUUCUACGAUUUAGUAUAAUCCCUUC
Molecule: ribosomal RNA, 240 nt
Filed under: Moneuplotes minuta
Lineage: Eukaryota; Ciliophora; Spirotrichea; Euplotida; Euplotidae
Description: partial 26S ribosomal RNA
Source: RNAcentral